GGAAAACUGAUAAUUUUAUUUUAUCAUUUGUUGGGCUAAAGUACUGGUUCAGAAUCCUUAAUUUGAGAAGUAUAUCAUGUGUUGCGUAAGUAUUGUUAUGGAUUCACUGAUUUAAUACAUGAUAAAUAAUAUUUGUCAUGGAAAUUACAUAAUUUUCUAAACUAUUAUAUAUAUAUCGUUGGGGGUUUUCUGUUACUUAGACUAGAGUGAGAUUUAAAUGAAGGCUUACAGAUUCAUCAAACAAAAUUUGGCAUAAAAUGCAU
Molecule: unclassified non-coding RNA, 263 nt
Filed under: Hevea brasiliensis (rubber tree)
Lineage: Eukaryota; Viridiplantae; Streptophyta; Magnoliopsida; Malpighiales; Euphorbiaceae
Source: RNAcentral